UACGUAGGCAGCGAGCGUUGUUCGGAGUUACUGGGCGUAAAGGGUGUGUAGGCGGUUGUUUAAGUUUGGGGUGAAAUCUCCCGGCUCAACUGGGAGGGUGCGCCGAAUACUGAAUGACUUGGAGUGCGGGAGAGGUGAGUGGAAUUCCUGGUGUAGCGGUGAAAUGCGUAGAUAUCAGGAGGAACACCGGUGGUGUAGACGGCUCACUGGACCGUAACUGACGCUGAGGCGCGAAAGCUAGGGGAGCAAACGGG
Molecule: ribosomal RNA, 254 nt
Filed under: uncultured bacterium
Lineage: Bacteria
Description: partial 16S ribosomal RNA
Rfam family: Bacterial small subunit ribosomal RNA
Source: RNAcentral